Molecule: transfer RNA, 70 nt
Filed under: Cynopterus sphinx (Indian short-nosed fruit bat)
Lineage: Eukaryota; Metazoa; Chordata; Mammalia; Chiroptera; Pteropodidae
Description: tRNA-Gly
Rfam family: tRNA
About the family: Transfer RNA (tRNA) molecules are approximately 80 nucleotides in length. Their secondary structure includes four short double-helical elements and three loops (D, anti-codon, and T loops). Further hydrogen bonds mediate the characteristic L-shaped molecular structure. tRNAs have two regions of fundamental functional importance: the anti-codon, which is responsible for specific mRNA codon recognition, and the 3' end, to which the tRNAs corresponding amino acid is attached (by aminoacyl-tRNA synthetases). tRNAs cope with the degeneracy of the genetic code in two manners: having more than one tRNA (with a specific anti-codon) for a particular amino acid; and 'wobble' base-pairing, i.e. permitting non-standard base-pairing at the 3rd anti-codon position.
Source: RNAcentral
UACUCUUUUAGUAUAAGUAGUACAAUUGACUUCCAAUUAAUUAGCUUCGGUAUAGUCCGAAAAAGAGUAA